RNAcentral lists this transfer RNA (67 nucleotides) under Stenamma muralla. Its description in RNAcentral is "tRNA-Trp". Lineage: Eukaryota; Metazoa; Arthropoda; Insecta; Hymenoptera; Formicidae. The record is from RNAcentral.
AAGACUUUAAGUUAUAUUUAAACUAUUAACCUUCAAAGUUUCUUAUAUAAAAUUCUUAUAGGUCUUA